RNAcentral lists this ribosomal RNA (453 nucleotides) under Encarsia formosa. RNAcentral's name for it is "eukaryotic LSU rRNA". The record is from RNAcentral. Lineage: Eukaryota; Metazoa; Arthropoda; Insecta; Hymenoptera; Aphelinidae.
AAAGAUCGAAUGGGGAGAUUCAUCGUCAACCUCUUUGGCUUACGUGUGGGUGCGAUGAUCGGGACCUCGGUCUCGCGUCACGCGCUCGCUGCGGCAUGUCCGGAGGGGUCGGCGUGCACUUCUCCCCUAGUAGGACGUCGCGACCCGUUGGGUGCUUGUCUACGGUCCGGUUGGUCGACUGGCGAGUCACGUGCAAACGCGAUCUCGCCAGACCACUGGUUUGCCCGAUUGGCUGCCCGACGGUAUUGAACGAUAAUUAACAUGGUAUUGGGCCGCACAAAGUGCGUUCAGGCCCGUCGUCAGGCUCGUCUCGCUCGGAUUUUCGAACCUGGUUUCGUUGUCGAGUGCUUGACGUGGCUGUUGGGCGACGGUGUCCUCGGACUGGCUCUAAAUAUUCGAACGGAUAUACCUGUCGGCGACGCUACUGCUUUGGGUACUUUCAGGACCCGUCUU